Molecule: ribosomal RNA, 468 nt
Filed under: uncultured bacterium
Lineage: Bacteria
Description: partial 16S ribosomal RNA
Rfam family: Bacterial small subunit ribosomal RNA
Source: RNAcentral
GACGAACGCUGGCGGCGUGCUUAACACAUGCAAGUCGAACGGAAAGGCCCUGCUUUUGUGGGGUGCUCGAGUGGCGAACGGGUGAGUAACACGUGAGUAACCUGCCCUUGACUUUGGGAUAACUUCAGGAAACUGGGGCUAAUACCGGAUAGGAGCUCCUGCUGCAUGGUGGUGGUUGGAAAGUUUCGGCGGUUGGGGAUGGACUCGCGGCUUAUCAGCUUGUUGGUGUGGUAGUGGCUUACCAAGGCUUUGACGGGUAGCCGGCCUGAGAGGGUGACCGGGCACAUGGGGACUGAGAUACGGCCCAGACUCCUACGGGAGGCAGCAGGGGGGAAUAUUGCACAAUGGGCGGAAGCCUGAUGCAGCAACGCCGCGUGCGGGAUGACGGCCUUCGGGUUGUAAACCGAUUUCGCAUGUGACGAAGAGUGAGUGACGGUAAUGGGUAAAGAAGCAACGGCUAACUACGUG